This 74-nucleotide transfer RNA is filed under the name Dreissena polymorpha. Its description in RNAcentral is "transfer RNA arginine (anticodon UCG)". It matches the Rfam family "tRNA". Rfam says of the family: Transfer RNA (tRNA) molecules are approximately 80 nucleotides in length. Their secondary structure includes four short double-helical elements and three loops (D, anti-codon, and T loops). The record is from Rfam by way of RNAcentral. Lineage: Eukaryota; Metazoa; Mollusca; Bivalvia; Myida; Dreissenidae.
GGUCCUGUGGCCUAACGGAUAAGGCGUCUGACUUCGAAUCUAGAAGAUUGCAGGUUCGAGUCCUGCCAGGAUCG